This 497-nucleotide ribosomal RNA is filed under the name uncultured bacterium. Its description in RNAcentral is "partial 16S ribosomal RNA". It matches the Rfam family "Bacterial small subunit ribosomal RNA", at positions 28 to 507 of the family's 1533-position model. The record is from RNAcentral.
GAUGAACGCUGGCGGCGUGCCUAAUACAUGCAAGUCGAGCGAACAGACGAGGAGCUUGCUCCUCUGACGUUAGCGGCGGACGGGUGAGUAACACGUGGAUAACCUACCUAUAAGACUGGGAUAACUUCGGGAAACCGGAGCUAAUACCGGAUAAUAUAUUGAACCGCAUGGUUCAAUAGUGAAAGACGGUUUUGCUGUCACUUAUAGAUGGAUCCGCGCCGCAUUAGCUAGUUGGUAAGGUAACGGCUUACCAAGGCAACGAUGCGUAGCCGACCUGAGAGGGUGAUCGGCCACCCUGGAACUGAGACACGGUCCAGACUCCUACGGGAGGCAGCAGUAGGGAAUCUUCCGCAAAGGGCGAAAGCCUGACGGAGCAACGCCGCGUGAGUGAUGAAGGUUUUCGGAUCGUAAAACUCUGUUAUUAGGGAAGAACAAAUGUGUAAGUAACUAUGCACGUCUUGACGGUACCUAAUCAGAAAGCCACGGCUAACUACGUG